Molecule: ribosomal RNA, 433 nt
Filed under: uncultured Lachnospiraceae bacterium
Lineage: Bacteria; Bacillati; Bacillota; Clostridia; Lachnospirales; Lachnospiraceae
Description: bacterial SSU rRNA
Rfam family: Bacterial small subunit ribosomal RNA
Source: RNAcentral
GAUGAACGCUGGCGGGUGCCUAACACAUGCAAGUCGAACGAAGCACCUUGAUUUGAUUCUUCGGAUGAAGAUCCUGGUGACUGAGUGGCGGACGGGUGAGUAACGCGUGGGUAACCUGCCUCAUACAGGAGGAUAACAGUUAGAAAUGACUGCUAAUACCGCAUAAGACCACAGCACCGCAUGGUGCAGGGGUAAAAACUCCGGUGGUAUGAGAUGGACCCGCGUCUGAUUAGGUAGUUGGUGGGGUAACGGCCUACCAAGCCGACGAUCAGUAGCCGACCUGAGAGGGUGACCGGCCACAUUGGGACUGAGACACGGCCCAAACUCCUACGGGAGGCAGCAGUGGGGAAUAUUGCACAAUGGGGGAAUACCUGAUGCAGCGACGCCGCGUGAGCGAUGAAGUAUUUCGGUAUGUAAAGCUCUAUCAGCAGGG